AUUCCUGUGGCGCAAUGGAUUGCGCGUUAGAACCACUAAUCUAAAGGUCGUGGUUUUGAAUCCCACCUGGAAUG
RNAcentral lists this transfer RNA (74 nucleotides) under Trichonephila inaurata madagascariensis. Its description in RNAcentral is "tRNA-Ser". The record is from RNAcentral. Lineage: Eukaryota; Metazoa; Arthropoda; Arachnida; Araneae; Nephilidae.